This 1191-nucleotide long non-coding RNA is filed under the name Cairina moschata (Muscovy duck). Its description in RNAcentral is "domestica (muscovy Duck (domestic type)) lncRNA (ENSCMMG00000015652.1)". The record is from RNAcentral. Lineage: Eukaryota; Metazoa; Chordata; Aves; Anseriformes; Anatidae.
AUGGUACUGUUAAUAAAACCCCACUGUGGAGGUGACAAAGGAGACCCUGCGGUCAGUUUUACAGCCAUCCGCAGUAUGGCACAGCCCCGAGACGUUCCCGGAACAACUUCGUCCCGAGCGAGACACAAAGAGAUGUCACGGAGUGAUCCAGAGCGGAACAGGCAGUGCCAGUCAGUGAGAGAGAAGAAACACCCACUGCAAGUGCAGGCUCUGGUCUUGAGGCUCAUCAGCCCAUCCUCUUUGCACUUCUUCGCUGCAGAGACCGCAGCCAGGCGCGGAGCUCGAGUCACGGCCACGGGCAACCAAGAAUUCCACUAACGUCUUCAUCUGGCAAGGGAGCAUUUCUGCAAGAGAGCAAUGUCAUGACUGCCCUGCAUCUGGAAAAGCAUUAGUUUGCCGCUCACUAGACAUCAUAAAACCCACACAGGAGAGGAACCGUGACUGACAGGUGAGUUCUCAGAUGUCUAUUAAGGGUGAGCUCACAACGCAGCCUCUCGUAUAAUUUAGUUAUCAAGCCCGCCAGCCGCAGCACCGUUCAAAAUCACGCUUAGUUCUGCCACUCGCAGAAUCACUUGUUUGCCUUUUCUAGCUUCAAACGCCACUGCUCACCACCCCAGCACUAAUACCUCAGCUCUUUAUCUACCCAAACGUUUUAUUUGCUGCAGCAUAACUGAUUGGGUUAGUUAGAAAAUGUACUACAGGGACCAAUCCCUAGCGGGCUGAAGAAAGGAAGAGACUAAAUUAGCAAACAGGUGAUUAUCCUGAUUACUCCUCUUUCCACUUCUUUAUAAUGUGUGAAAGAGGCCACUUGCUGCUGGAGGUGGGGAAUUCUGCUAUCCCUCUGACUUUUUUUUUUUUUUUUUUUUUUUUUUCUGUCUGGAGGCUCACAAGGCACCUGGGAUAUGGCCACAUACCCUGUACUUGCCCUUUGCCCUCCAUUUCCCUUUAGAAGAGCAGCUUCUCUUUGAGCUUCUCCAAAACCUUUUGAGCUCCUACACAAGUGUCCAGCUUCCUCCAGCACAAACUAGUAUUAUGGAGGAGGCUCACCAUAGGGUCUUGUUGUUGGAAAUACUGUCCUGCCAAGGCUAUAACCCUUGACCAACAAGACAUUACAGCCAAGCGAUGUCCUUUGCUGAAGGUCCCUGCUCACAUCCACCAGCUACUUAGAACAUUUCUUCAUACAUGUAUUUU